UACGUAGGGCGCAAGCGUUGUCCGGAAUUAUUGGGCGUAAAGAGCUCGUAGGCGGCUUGUCACGUCGGGUGUGAAAGCCCGGGGCUUAACCCCGGGUCUGCAUUCGAUACGGGCUAGCUAGAGUGUGGUAGGGGAGAUCGGAAUUCCUGGUGUAGCGGUGAAAUGCGCAGAUAUCAGGAGGAACACCGGUGGCGAAGGCGGAUCUCUGGGCCAUUACUGACGCAGAGGAGCGAAAGCGUGGGGAGCGAACAGG
This 253-nucleotide ribosomal RNA is filed under the name uncultured bacterium. RNAcentral's name for it is "partial 16S ribosomal RNA". It matches the Rfam family "Bacterial small subunit ribosomal RNA", at positions 524 to 776 of the family's 1533-position model. The record is from RNAcentral.